This 204-nucleotide ribosomal RNA is filed under the name uncultured bacterium. RNAcentral's name for it is "partial 16S ribosomal RNA". It matches the Rfam family "Bacterial small subunit ribosomal RNA", at positions 524 to 727 of the family's 1533-position model. The record is from RNAcentral.
UACAGAGGGUGCAAGCGUUGUUCGGAAUUAUUGGGCGUAAAGGGCGCGUAGGCGGUUCGGCAAGUCUCUAGUGAAAUCUCUGGGCUCAACUCAGAGUCUGCUGGGGAAACUGCCGGGCUUGAGUGUGGGAGAGGAGACUGGAAUUUACGGUGUAGCGGUGAAAUGCGUAGAUAUCGUAAGGAAGACCAGUGGCGAAGGCGGGUC